This 292-nucleotide ribosomal RNA is filed under the name uncultured bacterium. RNAcentral describes it as "partial 16S ribosomal RNA". It matches the Rfam family "Bacterial small subunit ribosomal RNA", at positions 505 to 796 of the family's 1533-position model. The record is from RNAcentral.
GUGCCAGCAGCCGCGGUAAUACGUAGGUGGCAAGCGUUGUCCGGAUUCAUUGGGCGUAAAGCGCACGCAGGCGGUUCGUUAAGUCCAGGGUGAAAUCUCCCGGCUCAACUGGGAGGGGUCUUUGGAUACUGGCGGACUUGAGUGCAUCAGAGGAGAGCGGAAUUCCCGGUGUAGUGGUGAAAUGCGUAGAUAUCGGGAGGAACACCAGUGGCGAAGGCGGCUCUCUGGGGUGUGACUGACGCUGAGGUGCGAAAGCGUGGGGAGCGAACCGGAUUAGAUACCCUGGUAGUCC